RNAcentral lists this ribosomal RNA (428 nucleotides) under uncultured archaeon. RNAcentral describes it as "bacterial SSU rRNA". It matches the Rfam family "Archaeal small subunit ribosomal RNA", at positions 474 to 903 of the family's 1478-position model. The record is from RNAcentral.
UACCAGCUCUCCGAGUGGUGUGGAUGUUUAUUGGGCCUAAAGCAUCCGUAGCUGGCUGGGCAAGUCCCCUGUUAAAUCCACCGAUUUAAUCGUUGGAGUGCGGGGGAUACUGUUCGGCUAGGGGACGGGAGAGGCAGACGGUAUUUUCGGGGUAGGGGUGAAAUCCUAUAAUCCCGGGAAGACCACCAGUGGCGAAGGCUGUCUGCUAGAACGCGCCCGACGGUGAGGGAUGAAAGCUGGGGGAGCGAACCGGAUUAGAUACCCGGGUAGUCCCAGCUGUAAACGAUGUAGGCUAGGUGUUUGGGCGGCCACGUGCCGCUCUAGUGCCGCAGGGAAGCCGUUAAGCCUGCCGCCUGGGGAGUACGGCCGCAAGGCUGAAACUUAAAGGAAUUGGCGGGGAGCACCACAAGGGGUGAAGCUUGCGGUUU